CAGGGAGACAACAAAAUGUUUAAUAUUAUUAUUUUGUCACCUUAGGUCGAUCGGUAUCUCACGUUCUUAAUUUGUUAAGAAUUUCAUUUCCUAAGUUUUUCUAGGUCACACCCAUUAUUUUUCCUGGGCCAUUAGCUCAGGUGGUUAGAGCGCACCCCUGAUAAGGGUGAGGUCCCUGGUUCAAGUCCAGGAUGGCCCAUAUCUCUAUGUUGGGGGUAUAGCUCAGUUGGUAGAGCGCCUGCUUUGCAAGCAGGAUGUCAGCGGUUCGAGUCCGCUUACCUCCACUGAUUACCACCUCUUACAUAACUGGUAAAAAGGAAAUGUUUUGAGUUGUGAGCAUUAUUCUGAACGAAUCUAGCUUCCUAAUGAAAUCAUUAAGAUGCUGGACUCAUUGAAUUAAUUUCAUUGUUUUCAGAGAACCUUGACAACUGCAUAGAUUAUUUUUAAAGACAAUAAGCAUCUUUAAUGAUGCAGAUUUAUUAUUUGUGCGAAUGCAUUAAUAACAAUUCUAUUAAGCUGAUGCUUCAAUUUUUUGAAGUUAUU
This 543-nucleotide transfer RNA is filed under the name uncultured Prochlorococcus sp. Its description in RNAcentral is "partial 16S-23S ribosomal RNA intergenic spacer". The stretch from base 212 to 284 matches the Rfam family "tRNA". Lineage: Bacteria; Bacillati; Cyanobacteriota; Cyanophyceae; Synechococcales; Prochlorococcaceae. The record is from RNAcentral.